Molecule: microRNA precursor, 63 nt
Filed under: Mus musculus (house mouse)
Lineage: Eukaryota; Metazoa; Chordata; Mammalia; Rodentia; Muridae
Description: Mmu-Mir-3079_pre stem-loop
Source: RNAcentral
UUUGAUCUGAUGAGCUAAGCUGGAGUUCCCAUUCACCUGGCUCCAGGCUCAUCAGAUGAAAGU